Molecule: ribosomal RNA, 253 nt
Filed under: uncultured bacterium
Lineage: Bacteria
Description: partial 16S ribosomal RNA
Rfam family: Bacterial small subunit ribosomal RNA
Source: RNAcentral
UACGUAGGGGGCAAGCGUUGUCCGGAAUCAUUGGGCGUAAAGCGCGUGUAGGCGGUCCGGCAAGUCGGAUGUGAAAGUCCAGGGCUCAACCCUGGGAUGGCGGUCGAUACUGCCGGACUAGAGUCCGGAAGAGGCAAGUGGAAUUCCCGGUGUAGCGGUGAAAUGCGCAGAUAUCGGGAGGAACACCAGUGGCGAAGGCGGCUUCCUGGCCUGUUCUUGACGCUGAGGCGCGAAAGCUAGGGGAGCAAACGGG